CAGGCCUAACACAUGCAAGUCGAGCGGUAACAGGGGGUGCUUGCACCCCGCUGACGAGCGGCGGACGGGUGAGUAAUGCAUAGGAAACUGCCCAGUAGUGGGGGAUAGCCCGGGGAAACCCGGAUUAAUACCGCGUACGCCCUUCGGGGGAAAGCAGGGGAUCUUCGGACCUUGCGCUAUUGGAUGUGCCUAUGUCGGAUUAGCUAGUUGGUGGGGUAAAGGCCUACCAAGGCGACGAUCCGUAGCUGGUCUGAGAGAAUGAUCAGCCACAUCGGGACUGAGACACGGCCCGAACUCCUACGGGAGGCAGCAGUGGGGAAUAUUGGACAAUGGGGGCAACCCUGAACCAGCCAUGCCGCGUGUGUGAAGAAGGCUUUCGGGUUGUAAAGCACUUUCAGUGAGGAGGAAAAGUUGGUCGUUAAUACCGGUCAGCCUUGACGUUACUCACAGAAGAAGCACCGGCUUACUCCGUGCCAGCAGCCGCGGUAAUACGGAGGGUGCAAGCGUUAAUCGGAAUUACUGGGCGUAAAGCGCGCGUAGGUGGUUUGAUAAGCGAGAUGUGAAAGCCCCGGGCUUAACCUGGGAACGGCAUUUCGAACUGUCAGCUAGAGUAUGGUAGAGGAGUGUGGAAUUUCCUGUGUAGCGGUGA
RNAcentral lists this ribosomal RNA (649 nucleotides) under uncultured bacterium. RNAcentral describes it as "bacterial SSU rRNA". It matches the Rfam family "Bacterial small subunit ribosomal RNA", at positions 43 to 684 of the family's 1533-position model. The record is from RNAcentral.